AGUGAACGCUGGCGGUGGGCCUAACACAUGCAAGUCGAACGGCAGCACAGUAAGAGCUUGCUCUUACGGGUGGCGAGUGGCGGACGGGUGAGGAAUACAUCGGAAUCUACUUUUUCGUGGGGGAUAACGUAGGGAAACUUACGCUAAUACCACAUACGAUCUACGGGUGAAAGCAGUGGAUCUUCGCACCUUGCGCGAUUGAAUGAGCCGAUGUCGGAUUAGCUAGUUGGCGGGGUAAAGGCCCACCAAGGCGACGAUGCGUAGCUGGUCUGAGAGGAUGAUCAGCCACACUGGAACUGAGACACGGUCCAGACUCCUACGGGAGGCAGCAGUGGGGAAUAUUGGACAAUGGGCGCAAGCCUGACCCAGCAAGACCGCGUGGGUGAAGAAGGCCUUCGGGUCGUAAAGCCCUUUUGUUGGGAAAGAAAAGCAGCAGGUUAAUACCCCGCUGUUCUGACGGUACCCAAAGAAUAAGCACCGGCUAACUUCGUG
Molecule: ribosomal RNA, 492 nt
Filed under: uncultured bacterium
Lineage: Bacteria
Description: partial 16S ribosomal RNA
Rfam family: Bacterial small subunit ribosomal RNA
Source: RNAcentral